GGCCGUGUGCCCGAGCGGUUCAGGGACCGGACUGCAAAUCCGGUUACGCAGGUUCGAAUCCUGUCACGGCCUC
Molecule: transfer RNA, 73 nt
Filed under: Streptomyces paromomycinus
Lineage: Bacteria; Bacillati; Actinomycetota; Actinomycetes; Kitasatosporales; Streptomycetaceae
Also listed under: 1 other name
Description: tRNA-Cys
Rfam family: tRNA
About the family: Transfer RNA (tRNA) molecules are approximately 80 nucleotides in length. Their secondary structure includes four short double-helical elements and three loops (D, anti-codon, and T loops). Further hydrogen bonds mediate the characteristic L-shaped molecular structure. tRNAs have two regions of fundamental functional importance: the anti-codon, which is responsible for specific mRNA codon recognition, and the 3' end, to which the tRNAs corresponding amino acid is attached (by aminoacyl-tRNA synthetases). tRNAs cope with the degeneracy of the genetic code in two manners: having more than one tRNA (with a specific anti-codon) for a particular amino acid; and 'wobble' base-pairing, i.e. permitting non-standard base-pairing at the 3rd anti-codon position.
Source: RNAcentral